CCUACGGGUGGCAGCAGUGGGGAAUAUUGCACAAUGGGCGCAAGCCUGAUGCAGCCAUGCCGCGUGUGUGAAGAAGGCCUUCGGGUUGUAAAGCACUUUCAGCGGGGAGGAAGGCGGUGAGGUUAAUAAUCUCAUCGAUUGACGUUACCCGCAGAAGAAGCACCGGCUAACUCCGUGCCAGCAGCCGCGGUAAUACGGAGGGUGCAAGCGUUAAUCGGAAUUACUGGGCGUAAAGCGCACGCAGGCGGUCUGUCAAGUCGGAUGUGAAAUCCCCGGGCUCAACCUGGGAACUGCAUUCGAAACUGGCAGGCUAGAGUCUUGUAGAGGGGGGUAGAAUUCCAGGUGUAGCGGUGAAAUGCGUAGAGAUCUGGAGGAAUACCGGUGGCGAAGGCGGCCCCCUGGACAAAGACUGACGCUCAGGUGCGAAAGCGUGGGGAGCAAACAGGAUUAGAUACCCCUGUAGUC
This 465-nucleotide ribosomal RNA is filed under the name uncultured Klebsiella sp. RNAcentral's name for it is "bacterial SSU rRNA". It matches the Rfam family "Bacterial small subunit ribosomal RNA", at positions 338 to 795 of the family's 1533-position model. The record is from RNAcentral. Lineage: Bacteria; Pseudomonadati; Pseudomonadota; Gammaproteobacteria; Enterobacterales; Enterobacteriaceae.